RNAcentral lists this ribosomal RNA (842 nucleotides) under uncultured organism. RNAcentral describes it as "bacterial SSU rRNA". It matches the Rfam family "Bacterial small subunit ribosomal RNA", at positions 642 to 1488 of the family's 1533-position model. The record is from RNAcentral.
UUGAGGAAGGCAGAGGCUGUCGGAACGUUCGGUGGAGCGGUGAAAUGCGUAGAUAUCGAACGGAACGCCGAAGGGGUAGCCAGGCAGCUGGGCCUUUCCUGACGCUCAGGCACGAAAGCGUGGGGAUCAAACAGGAUUAGAUACCCUGGUAGUCCACGCCGUAAACGAUGUGCACUAGCUUGAUGCGGAUCUGACUCCGUGUCGGGCGCCGAGAAAUCAUUAAGUGCACCGCCUGGGGAGUACGGUCGCAAGGCUAAAACUCAAAGGAAUUGACGGGGGCUCACACAAGCGGUGGAGCAUGUUGCUUAAUUCGAAGCAACGCGAAGAACCUUACCUGGGCUUGACAUGCAUGGAUUAGCUCUUGGAAACAUGAGUGACGCCCUCGGGUGGAACAUGCACAGGUGCUGCAUGGCUGUCGUCAGCUCGUGCUGUGAAGUGUCGGGUUAAGUCCCUUAACGAGCGCAACCCUUGUCGCUAGUUGCCAGCGCGUCAUGGCGGGGACUCUAGCGAGACUGCCGGUGUCAAACCGGAGGAAGGUGGGGAUGACGUCAAGUCCUCAUGGCCCUUACGCCCAGGGUGGCAAACGUGCUACAAUGGCCUGUACAGAGCGACGCAAUACCGCGAGGUGGAGCAAAUCGCAAAAAGCAGGCCCCAGUUCGGAUUGCAGUCUGCAACUCGACUGCAUGAAGCCGGAAUCGCUAGUAAUCGCGGAUCAGCCAUGCCGCGGUGAUACGUUCCUGAGCCUUGUACACACCGCCCGUCAAGUCAUGGAAGUCGGGAGUGCCCGAAGUUGCUCCGAUUCAGGAGUGCCCACGGCAAGUUCGGUGACUGGGACUAAGUCG